Long non-coding RNA from Topomyia yanbarensis, 3772 nucleotides. RefSeq lists it as uncharacterized. The record is from RefSeq and is a predicted model, not a curated record. The transcript has 8 exons. Lineage: Eukaryota; Metazoa; Arthropoda; Insecta; Diptera; Culicidae.
GCGAAAACGAUAACGAAAAAUGCAGUUAGCCGAGACACGGUUCGACAAACGAUAAGUUUCAUAAUACUUCCGCGAGAUAGCGCUGCUUUCUAUGCGCUGUCACCAAGGCAAACUUUUUCCUUGCGAAAUAAUGGUCAAUGGUAUUAUUUCGCACGGAGGCUCGCGAAAUUUUGACAGGUUGCAAUGAAAAAAUAUAAAAAAACACAAGAUUAGUAAUUUUUUGUAUUUUUUUUCAUCGCGACCUGUCAAAAUUUUGUAGUUUUGAGAAUCAAUAUUUUGAAUUUGAAUGGCACACCCGAACAAAGCAGCCACAAGAGCAGCAUUUUUCGUCAGCAGCAGAAGCAGCAGCCAUCUAUCUACUUGAUAAGUUUUCAUCAACAACAACCAGAUGCUAUAAAUCAGCUCAACUUGACUCAACAUCCUGGAUCUGGCAAUCAGCCAACCAACAUUAAAUCGAUACAACCGUAGCAGUACCAACAACUCCAAAUCCAGCAGCUGCCAACAAUCUCUCAAAAAAGAACCACAGCAAUUACAGCUCAGAACCAACAAAGCAACAAGAGCUUUUUUUACGAAUAAUGGACCCAACACUUUAUCGGCACAUUCUGUCGUAAAACUUGCCUGCCACUAUUCUUACCAGCGGUUACCUUCCUGAUGUAGAGAAAUCAGAGUCAAACACAAACGUCAUAUUACUGCCUUGGCUCCUACCAGUUGCUUGCAUGAAAAUAUCGCUGCCUCCACAGUGCUCGUGAUUCCAUCCCAGCAGCAGCUAGCAACCACAAUUCCAGUGCUUAUCGCCAGCAACAUCAGAAAAUUAAGAUUUCCCCUAGACCAUGACCAUCAUCCGACAGAUCGGUAGCAACAACGUUCAACUGACGGUAGAAACUGGCCAGCAACCGCAACUAGUGCAAUCGAUCCAAGCCAAUCAGGGCCAAAUGUAGAAGACCAUUGGUCAAUCGCAAAAAAAGAUACAUCAACAGCACCUUCAAACACAGUAGCAGCAGCAUACUGUACUGUACCACGCCUCGUGCAGGAGGACUUUUUUUAUUCAGUUGAUGCAGCAAGAUCGAACAGCAACCAUAGCGGAUACACAUCACCGAACACCAGCAACAUAAUGCCAUGGUAACCACCCAGCAGCAGAACACGGUGAUAAUGGGUCAACAGUAAAUACAACAUCAAGAUCCUCGGAAAGGACUUUCUCUUUCGAACAAACAUAAUGGAAGCAUACUCUACACGCGCGACAUAUUCAAUCGGGCCAACCGUGUGACUCGUUUGGAAAAAAGCGCUCAUCAUCGGUUUCAUGGCAGCGAAGUGAGCAGACAAAAGAAGGCGUUUUUUCCGCAAGGUCGCUCUAGGCAAAAGUUCAGCCAAUUGCAAGGAAUAAACCACCGGAGUGACAGUAUCCGUGCUGUUUGGGACCUUUUUCCAUAUAUUGUAGCUUUUGAAUUUUAAUACCCGGUCGAAACGAUGGCAAGUGCUGCCGAUAACUGGGUCAAAAAGGCGGAGGGAGGAUCAGGAAAUUUCUGCACUUGGUUAUCGAUCUGAGUAUCCCUAAGGAUAAGGAACCAGAGCCGGCGGCUGACAGCCCAAAGAAAGAGAAUGCGGAAAAACCUACUAGUUCACCGCCAGUAGAACCAGCGAUCAAAUUACUCCCGUAGAAACGGCUGCACCUGCAGUUUUGUUUUCGGUAGCUACAGAAAUUAAGACUUUAGCAGCUCCUGAAGAAAAAAAAAGCUGCUAGCGAAAAUGGCGAAACAGCUUCCACCACGGAAGAUGCAGAGGCAUUCAACCCGGCGGAUGCAAGUUUGCUAAUUAAACUUAUUCGAAAGGUCUAGUAGAAUCAAAGCUGGAUCUGGGGGUGAAGGAUCCUUCUUCGCCGCAAUACUUGGUUAAAACUUUCGAAGCUUUGCACAUGAAUUCGGAACUGCUUCAGGGAGUCUAUGCUAUGGGUUUCAACGCUCCUUCCAAGAUUCAGAAGACGGCUUAACCUACUCUGUUGGCCGAUCCGCCACAGAACAUAAUCGCCCAGAGUUGGUCGGGAACAAGAAAAACCACUGCCUUCGUGCUGGCAAUGCUCAAUCGAGUCGAUCCGUUGAAAAACUAUCCGCAGGUGAUUUGCCUUUCCCCACGUAUGAACUGGCAAUUCAGAAGGGGAAAGUAGCUGCAAAACGGCAAAGUUUUGUGCGGAAAUCGAACUUGGUUAAACCGUUCGCGGUGAGAAGAUCGUCAAAGGGGCGAAGCUGACUAAUCAUAUCAUCAUCGGAACAGCCGGGCGUUCGACCUUAAGAAGAUUGCAAUUUUUGUACCGGACGAGGCGGGCGUUAUGAUCGCUGUUUCUUUUUAGCCACGUACGAGCGGGAGGUGAUGGGAUUCGCCCAGUACAUCGUAACCAAUCCGAUCAUGAUUCUUCUGGUGCGGGAGCAAGAAUCACUCGAUAACACCAAACACUACUACGUCAAAUGCCGCAACCAGGACGAGAAAUAUCAAGCAAUUUCAAACAUGUACGGUGUGAUUACCGUCGGACAAGCGAUCAUUUUCUGUCAUAUGAUGUAUAGGAUAGUUGUAAACUCCAAGUAAACUUAUUUUCGGCAUUGUUAAUCGAUCGAAACAGGCACGCAAAACGGCCGGUUGGACCAGGAUAAUCACUCAGUAGCGGUACUGUCCGGUGAUCUAACGGCGGAGCAACGGUUGGCCGUUCUGGAUCGAUCCUGAGCCGGACUAUAUAAGAUAUUGAUUGCAACGAACGUUUAGUCUAGGGGUAUCGAUGUUGAACAGGUGACCAUUGUCAUCAACUUCGACCUGCCGAUGGAUUAGCAGGGACGAGCCGAUUGCGAAACGUAUCUACAUCGAAUUAGACGCACCGGUAGAUUCGAACGGAAUCACCAUCAACCUAGUAGGCAGUGAUCGAAGCAUGAUUUGCAGAUCAAUCGAAAAACACUUCCGGAAAAAGAUUCAGUUGCUAGACGCGGAGAACUCGGACGAAAUUGAAAAGAUCGCACCGUAAAGUGUUUUCGACCAGCUACUGGUGAAAGGCAUAGGAGCUUUUUUGGGUCAUACUUGUUAUGAUUCUGAAUUUAUAAUUUUAUUAAUUUGUUUUUCUUCCUUGACCUGACAUAUGUAACCAACAGGGUAAUAAAUUUACAAUUAAAAUUACAAUUUAUCUCUACCCAGUUCUAUCCAAACAUUUGAAAAGGGCCUAACUGCAAAAUGUAACAAAUUGAAAUUUCAUGUUUUCCAUUAACAAAUAUCUACCCGAGCACGUACAUAACGCAACAUUUGAUCAUGAAGAAUUUUGAUAGCGAUUUUACAACAAUUAAUAAAAGGGCCUAAUUGAUUUUUAUGACCGAACUGAUUAUGAAAGGACCUAACUGAUUGAAAAGUGCCUAACUAGCAAUACACUCGUUUUAAAUGGAUUAUAACGUAUUAUUGUAUUAUGACUGAUUGUAAAAGGCUUAUAACAUCUUUUCCAUAAUUUACAUACAGGGUCAAUCUGACCAUCAAAUUAGAAUUCAGUUAAUUCGUCUAACUUUCGGUGUAAUAUCAGACUUGAACAGCAUUUUUUGUGUGAAGUAUUCUGCCGCUAGAAGCAAAACUGUCCCAUGUGCUAUGGGAAUCCCUAUACACAUGGGACAAUUAUGCUUCUUGUGGCAGUAAUACAAGUAGUAGCAAUAUGCGCAAUUCCUUAAACCUCUAGUGUUUCAUGCAAUAAGAAUUACCACGAAUUACUUAUGGAAAUAAAUUUGAACUACGAUUCUCACAAUUGUUAUACCAAAAA